UGGGCUCUUCCACUUGCGGUCUGUCAUCACCUUGGCACCCUUUCGGAGGCCCUCAGCAAUGUUUGUCCCACCAUUUGAGAUCAGAUUAUUAACAGCCUGUAGUGCUUCCUGCCUUCCUGUGUCAGUCAUCCUACGAAGGGGAAAAAGUCUCCGAGCUGUGGAGGAGAAGGCAAUGACUGAAAGCCUGUCAGAAGAGCCUAGGUUCUGAAUCACAAACCCCAUGGCUUGUUUUAGCAAAGCAAGCUUUGUGCCUGCCAUGCUGCCACUUAUAUCAAGCACGGUUACGAGAUCUACUGGAGCACGAGAGUUCUGAGAAAUUAAAGGCAGAUUAGCAUGGUCUUCGCCAGAAUGCUGUUUUCCACUAGUAAGGGGAGCUUUGAGAUGUAUUAGUAUGUUGAAACUAUUAUGGGAUGCUAAUCUUGAAAUGGAAGAAACCUCGGGGUAUGUUUUAACCUCAAUUGCCCCAAUAGAAUGGACAUCAGUACAAAUAUUGUCUGAUGAAUUUUUUUCAGUAACCUCAGGUUGGCAAUCCACAAGUUCGUCAUCAUCGAAGACACCUGGCUCAGGGGAGUGACGAAUAGGAGAAACACGCCGGUCUGCAUCUGCACCAGGAGGGAUCCUUUGUACAACAGUCAUCCAGGCAACAUCUUGAGGCCAAGAACCACGAUUGGUUCUUGACCUUCUAUGACUAAGAUCAGAAGAAGGAUUCUGGAAUGGAACUUCCUUCCAUUUUGCUCGGCAAACGGGGCAAAUCUGAUUUCCAUGUUUUACAUUGGAGGUGAUGCAGUGGAAGUGGAAGGAGUGUGAGCAUUCUGCGGUAAAAAUGGCAUGGCCUUGGCCUGGUUUCAUGGUGGUUAAGCAUAUUGAACAAGUCCUCUGCAACCACAAAGAAAUACAAGUCAAAAGCAGAUCACACAUGAACUGCAUUCAAGCCAACUGUUAUGGCUGAAAGAUUGAUCAACUUUGAAAUGCAUCAGCUGAUACAGUUUGCUCAAGUAUCAAUUCAAAUAUAUUUAUUUUGUCUUGUUUAAUUAUUUGGUGAUAAGCAAAUCAAAUAAACAAUGUGAAUAUAAAGAAAACAUUUAUACGAUCCCACAUAAACUGCAUCAAGACCAACUUUAUGGCUGAUAGAUUAAGCACAAACAACUAAACAAAUUGUCAAUGAUCCAACCUAUGAUUGACAGUUUAUGAACCCCCUAUGCAAUGCACACAACAUAAUAAUCAGCUCAUAUUUUUGCUGACAUUAAUAUAUUUUAAUUUUUUAAUUUUUGGGUUUUGGCAAUAAAUAAAUAAAAUAAGCAGUGCGACUAUGAAAGAGAACAUUGAUACGAUAUUAUGUUUUUCUGCAAAAAUUACCUCUAUUUUGGUAGGCUUAAGUUGAUCAUCACAAAUUUAAACAAACAAGUAGCAAUAUGACAUCUAUUUAUUUGUUUAUUUAAUUAUUACAAUAUGAAAUGAGCAUAGUGUAGACCUCAAAAUAAUUCGCAGUUAACCAUCAUUGAACGCAGAUGUCUUGAUGCUUAAAANNNNNNNNNNNNNNNNNNNNNNNNNNNNNNNNNNNNNNNNNNNNNNNNNNNNNNNNNNNNNNNNNNNNNNNNNNNNNNNNNNNNNNNNNNNNNNNNNNNNAGCACCAACACCAACAACAAAUUCUAGGGGAGGAGAAUGACCGCCAGUUAGAUGUUACAAAUGCGGGAAAGAGGGACAUAUUUGUCCACAACAAUCCAAGGUAUGUUACAACUGUGGAAAGGAAGGCCACAUAGCUCGGGAUUGUUCUGUAGCAAAAUCAAGUUCAACGGGGAUGGUGACUCCAAGGGCUGUCCCGGAUAAGUCGAAAUCAGCGGUUCCUGAAAGAGCGUUUGUCGUGACUGACCAAAACGCGAGGAACCCCCCAUUAAUAUGAUUAUAUGAUAAUCCCCAAGCUAAUGUUUCAAACAAAGGUAUUGAUGGGGCAAUUUUUUUAGGGGGUUGAUGUAACCCAUGUCGCUAAUAUGACCAAGUAGGUGGUGUUUGACUGCAUCUUAACAAUUUACUUCUUAAUACAUCUUAACAAUCCACAAUUUUAUAUUAAGAGGUCCUCUUAAUAGUUAAGAUACAAAUAUGAGUCUAAACUAUUCAGAUAACCAUCUUAAUACAAAAAUAUGAGUUAAAAUACAUUAAGAGGUGAAUUAUUAAGAUGUAUUAAAAUACAAUCAAACACAAUUGAAACAUGAAUUGAGCCUUUUAGGUGUUUUGAUUGCAUCUUAACAGUUUCUUAAUGCCUCUUAAGAGACCAUAUUUUUGUAUUAAGAGAUUUUUUGAAUAGUUAAGAUAUAAAUACAAAUCUAAACUAUUCAGAAGACUUUUUAAUAUAAAAAUGUGGACGGUAAAAAUACAUUGAAAGGUGGGAUCAUUCAAUCACCACCUUACUUUGGAUUUGAUUUGAACCUGGCCCAAGUGAUUACAGAUGGUGAAACUCUUUUUGUGGAUAAAAGGGAAAACGAGCUAAAAAGAAUAUUCUACUCCAUUGGUAAAAGAAUAUUACUGCUUUCUUUAAUGCUUCCACUAUUAGUACAAAUACAAUGAAUCACUUGCCAAUCUCAGUAGUCUCUCAAAUAGGUACGUAGUAUAUAUGGUUUCGCAAUAGAGAGAGAGAAGUUUCACGAAGGGAGAAGCAAAAAAAUUCAACCCGGGACUAAUGGCUACUGGUGGUGGGAGUUUUGUCACAUAUAUUCAUUCUAUUGAAAUGAGUUUUAUUCCGCAUUCUUCACAUGAAAUAAAAAAACAAAAAAAUAGAAUGAAUUUUAAUUCUAUUUUUAUUUCAUUCAUUUCUUUAUUCCACUCUCAAUCCAAACGUACCAUAAAAAGAUUACUGUUGACACACGCACACUUCUAGACCAGUGCCUUGCAGACUCUUAGUUGGAUGAAAUAGCUAAUUGCGUCACUUUUUUUCCAAACACUCGAGGUUAAAUGAAACUUUUCUAACCACAGACAGAUAGUUAUGCCAAGAUCAUUUAAAAUAGAAAACUAUAUGAUACUGCAUUUUACUUCAUGAUCUUAAAAUUGUAGCAUAAACCAUAGAAAGUGGAAUGAGACUGAGGCUGCAACAUGCAUAAUUAGAGACUUAACGUGUUUGAGUGAAGAAUUUCUCCAGUAUCCCCCACAAUUACAAGGCUUUACCCCAAUUUUCACCAAAAGAGAAAACCCCCAUUUCUCUCCUUAUAUACAAAACCACAUGUUAAAAUUGUAAACCUAAACCAAUUUGUCCUUUAUCACAAUCCUCGUAAAUUUUUCUCAUAGCCCCCCUAAUCUUAUUCAUGUACACAAAGGAAAUAUACCCAUUGUCGUGAAACACAAAACCUUCUACCAGGUCUUUGAUACGUCCCCGACUUUCCCAAAACCAAUUAAACAGAACAAAAAAUAUAAAGGGACAAUGAUCAAAACUCAAGAAGAAUUUUCAAAGACAACCAUGUUGGUUACCUCGGUUGCGGUUGUGAUGAAAAUGAUCGAGCAGGCCUGGCUGAUGAUUGAGGUGAUGGAUUACCAAAGAACAUUGUCUGGGAUUGGUUAACCAUGUCAACCAUGGAUGGGGUCUGGUAAGCCUGCAUAAGGCUUGUGCUAUCCAUAGAAUCACCUCGUGCAGUUGCCCUCUGCCAUGAGUGUGAGCUCAAACCCGAUAGAACAUAAGCCCUUCCGGAUGACUCGUAUACACGGCGGUUUGCCAUCCUCUCUUGCAUUUCCCUCAUUUCAGCACCCAAGGCAACACAUAACCUGUCGCCAGCUUGUGCUGACACGGUUUCAGACAACUGUUUACGGCAAUGCUCAAGGACGGAUACUGCAGCAGUUAAAUCACCACGUUCAGCAGCAGCUCGUGCUUCUGCCAUUGCUUCUGCUGCACAGAGCCUAUUUCGCUGCCUGUCCACUUCCAUUGACACUGACAAUUGUCUAGUAGUUUCAGGCCUUUGAAUUACCACAUUCCUGGCUUCUUCCAAGGUCAUUGUUUCUUUUGUUAUAGGGUCUUUGUACUGACAAUUAACUUUUAUCAAUGACAUGUCAUUACUGUAUUUAUCAACUGGAAUGUCCAUUAUUACCAGAAAAUCUCUCUCUUCUUCAGCAUACAGAUCCCCAACUUCGAUAAAUCCUGUUCUUGCAUCAGUCAUCACACUGGUUUUAUAAUUUCCUGCUUUUAUUGAACUAAGACGCAACCUUGGAUGUACGCAGUCAACCACCACCCGUAGUUCCUGUACCACAACACUCAGAAGCCCUCCAAUGCAUUGUGCAAAAGCAUCCUGAAUCACACUCUCUGCCUCUAUAAAAGAAAAUGUCCCCCCAGAAGCUUCAGAAAUGGAAUGCAUUGCAACAGCAUCAUGAUCUGCCCCAAAACCAAAUGCGUGAACUGGAAUGUGGUGGCCAGCACCACUAUCGCGAUGCAUGGAGAAUGGGAGGAGUGACUGAUAAUCAGUUCGAGAACUAGUCCCACGAGGACUGGUCACUGUAUACGUGUCCUGCCCGUCAGACAACAGUAUAAUACUGCUCACUGGGCUCUUCCACUUGCGGUCUGUCAUCACCUUGGCACCCUUUCGGAGGCCCUCAGCAAUGUUUGUCCCACCAUUUGAGAUCAGAUUAUUAACAGCCUGUAGUGCUUCCUGCCUUCCUGUGUCAGUCAUCCUACGAAGGGGAAAAAGUCUCCGAGCUGUGGAGGAGAAGGCAAUGACUGAAAGCCUGUCAGAAGAGCCUAGGUUCUGAAUCACAAACCCCAUGGCUUGUUUUAGCAAAGCAAGCUUUGUGCCUGCCAUGCUGCCACUUAUAUCAAGCACGGUUACGAGAUCUACUGGAGCACGAGAGUUCUGAGAAAUUAAAGGCAGAUUAGCAUGGUCUUCGCCAGAAUGCUGUUUUCCACUAGUAAGGGGAGCUUUGAGAUGUAUUAGUAUGUUGAAACUAUUAUGGGAUGCUAAUCUUGAAAUGGAAGAAACCUCGGGGUAUGUUUUAACCUCAAUUGCCCCAAUAGAAUGGACAUCAGUACAAAUAUUGUCUGAUGAAUUUUUUUCAGUAACCUCAGGUUGGCAAUCCACAAGUUCGUCAUCAUCGAAGACACCUGGCUCAGGGGAGUGACGAAUAGGAGAAACACGCCGGUCUGCAUCUGCACCAGGAGGGAUCCUUUGUACAACAGUCAUCCAGGCAACAUCUUGAGGCCAAGAACCACGAUUGGUUCUUGACCUUCUAUGACUAAGAUCAGAAGAAGGAUUCUGGAAUGGAACUUCCUUCCAUUUUGCUCGGCAAACGGGGCAAAUCUGAUUUCCAUGUUUUACAUUGGAGGUGAUGCAGUGGAAGUGGAAGGAGUGUGAGCAUUCUGCGGUAAAAAUGGCAUGGCCUUGGCCUGGUUUCAUGGUGGUUAAGCAUAUUGAACAAGUCCUCUGCAACCACAAAGAAAUACAAGUCAAAAGCAGAUCACACAUGAACUGCAUUCAAGCCAACUGUUAUGGCUGAAAGAUUGAUCAACUUUAAAAUGCAUCAGCUGAUACAAUUUGCUCAAGUAUCAAUUCAAAUAUAUUUAUUUUGUCUUGUUUAAUUAUUUGGUGAUAAGCAAAUCAAAUAAACAAUGUCAAUAUAAAGAAAACAUUGAUACGAUCCCACAUAAACUGCAUCAAGACCAACUUUAUGGCUGAUAGAUUAAGCACAAACAACUAAACAAAUUGUCAAUGAUCCAACCUAUGAUUGACAGUUUAUGAACCCCCUAUGCAAUGCACACAACAUAAUAAUCAGCUCAUAUUUUUGCUGACAUUAAUAUAUUUUAAUUUUUUAAUUUUUGGGUUUUGGCAAUAAAUAAAUAAAAUAAGCAGUGCGACUAUGAAAGAGAACAUUGAUACGAUAUUAUGUUUUUCUGCAAAAAUUACCUCUAUUUUGGUAGGCUUAAGUUGAUCAUCACAAAUUUAAACAAACAAGUAGCAAUAUGACAUCUAUUUAUUUGUUUAUUUAAUUAUUACAAUAUGAAAUGAGCAUAGUGUAGACCUCAAAAUAAUUCGCAGUUAACCAUCAUUGAACGCAGAUGUCUUGAUGCUUAAAAUUAUAUGUGAGAAGCUGCAUUUAGCUUAGAAGUACUGAUAAAAUCUAUCAUUUAUGUAUUAGUACUGACUAAAUCAAUUAUAGUUACAUGCCCUCAAAUUAAAAAUUAAAAUUUCCAAAAUUGAAGGACUAUUAUAAUUAACCUUCAUAUUUUGCGAAAAAUGAAUUUUUAAGUCUUAAGAAAAAUGUAAAUCCACUCCACUUGAGCCAAAAAAUUCUUGUUACCAAGAUAAGAUUUCUUAAUGAUGAAAGACUUUAAAAGACUAAACUUUUAAGUAACAUUAGGAGUACCAGCCAUAGAUUAGCUAAGUUGCCAUAUGAUUGCUCCCACUGGAUGGCCAUCAAAUAUCAAACAUCACUGUUGUGUUAAAGAUGGACCCCUGUGUCUGCAUGAAGUCAUAUUAUUCGAUUGAGUGCCUCAACGGCCACACCCAUGUGGUGUAAGGCCCACUUGAGUGUUCAAGAAAUGGUACCACCACCUUCUCAAAGAGAAAAUGGAUACAACAACUCUGUAUUGUAUACUCUACCAUUCCACACAAAAAUCAUGGGUUAAAAAAAUUGAUUGCGGGUUUAAUUAGUUUACCAAUCAAUAAAAUCACUUAGGCAGUCCACACAAAAUAAAGAAUGAGCUUAAACUAAUGAUGAAGCAUUCAAUACAACAUACAAGAAAAUAUAAAUAAAGCACAUAUAUUAAAAGAAAUAAAAAAACAUUAGUUUCUAUAAGAUUUCUACUGUUUUUCAACUCCCUUCUUACUUUAAUGAAGCUUAUUGUAGGAAAGCUCUCAAUCAGUGGUCUACAGGCUUUUCCAAAAAUUAUCAUCAAAAGACGAGUGAGAGAUGGAAAGAGCUAGAUGGGUAUGUGUCUGUGUGAAACAGUGCAGUUGCUGACCAUACAAAGCACUUUCUUUCCAAGGAGGAGGAGAAAAAAGGGAAUGAGUACCCACAUCCUGUAGUUUUCCUUUUACUAUGGCCAAAGGCAAUAUCCUACUUGCACUUUCUCUUUCCACAAUGCCAUUGAGAGCUAGUUGAAAACUACAAAACAACAUUACCCAUCUCUCUUCCCCAGUUUUAGAGGUAUGUAUCCAUCUGCAUAUCUACACCCCAACAUCACGUCUACCAAUAAACUUAUAACCAAACAAAUAAAAAACCAAUUAUAUCCUUAUUUAUAUUGAAUAUGUACACAGUACACAUGUUAACUAAAGAAAAAGCGAAUUAUUAGUUGACUUAUUUCCAGAAGGAAAUUAGAUCUUUCAAAAAUGUACUCUUUCAAAUAAUUGAGUUUGUUUGUUUGUGUCUACCCUUGCCCAAUCAAUAAACUUCCUUGUAAAAUAUCACUUCACAAGAAAAAUCUAACCAACACAAUCACACGGUUUAAGCUUAAAAUCUGACAAACAAACAAAUCACAUAUAUACUCUUCCUUGUACAGAAUCUAUCAAUUGAAGAUUCAAAGUACACAAGUCAAAAAAACAGUGGAAUAACUUCUCCUAAAAUGACAUUUGAAAAAAUAAAAUGAGAUUAAUAUUUGCAAGAAUUACACAGCAAUUAACACAUACAAACCGGCAAGGACGCGACUCUGGUGAACCAGUUAUUGUAAAAUCAAUUUCUAUAUAUAGAGAGAGAUAAAUUAUGUAUGCAAAAUACAAACCUUGGAUGAUUUAGAACCGUAUUUGGGCAAACGGAGGCCGGAAGAAGACGGAGUGGGAGUCGUCGGCAUUUGAACCUGCUGAGAACCAGAACUCCUUCCCUCCGCCGGAGAAACCGACGGAGAAAGAAGGGAGGCAUGAGAAAACCUGCCGCCGGACGGCGAAGAGUCAUCUGGAGUUUUCGGAAUGUAAAGGCACGAAUUCAGCCCUAGCGCCAGCUUAGCUUUCCUCCAUUUGCUUCCCAUUUAGCUCGAACCUCCCGAUCUGAUUUUUUCUAGAGAGAGAAAAAAUUACAGAUACAAAUAUACAUAUAGCGCAUAUACAUAUCCAUAAUAUAUAUAAACAAAAAAAUCUUUGCUUAUAAAACAAAUAAUAAAUUCAGAUCUUCAAAUGCUUAGGGAGCAACAUUCUACAAGAACAGAUCUCCAAAUGCUUGUUCUUUGAACUGGUAAACUCUUUUGAACACGAUAACCAAUAGCUUUGGACCGAAUAUAUAGAGAGAGACACAUAUAUAAUAAAUAUAGAUAUAGUGAGAGACAAUCUAGAGAGAAAAAAUCUAGAGAUAUGAAAGGUUUUACGAGGCUGCGAAAGGAGAAGAAGAUAAAGAGAAUGUUAGGAGGAGAGAGAAAGAGAGGGGGUAAAAAUGGAAAAGAAGGUUUUGACCUUGUGGGGUUAGGGUGUUCAUCGGUAAAAAAUUGGAUUCAUCGGCUCGAACCGUAACAUACCGAAUACUCAUAGUAAUUAAUUUCAUAUACAGAUACAGGUUUGGUAUUAGUUUUUACCGAAAAAUUAAUAUAAUUAUUAUUAUUAUUUAUUAUUAUUAUUAUUUUAUUAAUAUUAUAAUCAUUAUUAUUAUUAUUAAAUUAUUAAUAAAAAAAAUUAGAAAAUCUGUAUAUAUCGAUCCGGUUCGGUAAAACUGAACCAUAAAAAUGUCGGACCAAAACCGGUACCGAAAAAUUGAUAUAUAUCGAGUUUUUUGUACCGAACCGGAUCGUUUUUUUAUACCGAAUCGACCGGUUCGGUCCGGUCUAAAAAACUGAAAAAACGAAAGAAAAAAAAAACGAUAAAUUUGAACACCCCUAGGUUAGGACCGGUUUAGGAAACCUCUUAAAUAACCUACUUUCUAUAUUGUUUUAUUAAAAUUAUGUGGUUUUGAAGAUUGAUUCUUUCAAAAAAUAAGUUAGGUCACAAGUGAUAUUUUUAUAAAUAAAAGGAAAAUAAGUAGAACACCUCUUUUUUAAUACUCCCUUCUAUUCAGAUUAAAUGACGUUUUAGAGUUAAGCACACUUAUUAAGAAAUAAUAUAAAAUGUCUUUUAUAUCCCUAAUUAAUUAUUUAUUUCUCCACAAUGAUAAAAAAUGAAGGCAAUUAAUGGGUUAUUGGAACUUUGGUUGUAGGUAAAAAGGUUUAUAGAAUUGUAUUUACUAAGCAUAUUAAAUUGAGGGGUAAAUUAGAAAAAAAUAGUGCAAUAUUGUAUAGAAAUUUCAAAACGACACUUAUAUAAAAUAAAAUCAAACUCCCUAAAACGUCAUUUAAUUUGAAUAAAAAAGAGUAUUAUUUUAUUUUUUAAAAGAAUCCUCAAAACGAUAUAGUUAUGUUUUA
Molecule: long non-coding RNA, 9283 nt
Filed under: Panax ginseng (ginseng)
Lineage: Eukaryota; Viridiplantae; Streptophyta; Magnoliopsida; Apiales; Araliaceae
Description: long non-coding RNA (PGIN_LNC013198)
Source: RNAcentral